RNAcentral lists this ribosomal RNA (253 nucleotides) under uncultured bacterium. Its description in RNAcentral is "partial 16S ribosomal RNA". It matches the Rfam family "Bacterial small subunit ribosomal RNA", at positions 524 to 776 of the family's 1533-position model. The record is from RNAcentral.
UACGGGGGGGGCAAGCGUUGUUCGGAAUUACUGGGCGUAAAGGGCUUGUAGGUGGCCAACUAAGUCAGACGUGAAAUCCCUCGGCUUAACCGGGGAACUGCGUCUGAUACUGGAUGGCUUGAGUGUGGGAGAGGGAUGCGGAAUUCCAGGUGUAGCGGUGAAAUGCGUAGAGAUCCGGAGGAACACCAGAGGCGAAGGCGGCCUACUGGGCUGCACCUGACGCUGAGCCGCGAAAGCCAGGGGAGCGAACGGG